GACGAACGCUGGCGGCGUGCCUAAUACAUGCAAGUAGAACGCUGAAGAGAGGAGCUUGCUCUUCUUGGAUGAGUUGCGAACGGGUGAGUAACGCGUAGGUAACCCGCCUUGUAGCGGGGGAUAACUAUUGGAAACGAUAGCUAAUACCGCAUAACAAUGGAUGACACAUGUCAUUUAUUUGAAAGGGGCAAUUGCUCCACUACAAGAUGGACCUGCGUUGUAUUAGCUAGUAGGUGAGGUAAUGGCUCACCUAGGCGACGAUACAUAGCCGACCUGAGAGGGUGACCGGCCACACUGGGACUGAGACACGGCCCAGACUCCUACGGGAGGCACAAGUAGGGAAUCUUCGGCAAUGGGGGAAACCCUGCCCGAGCACCGCCGCGUGAGUGAGGAAGGUUUUCGGAUCGUAAAGCUCUGUUGUAAGUCAAGAACGGGUGUGAGAUUGGAAAGUUCAAACUGGGACGGUAGCUUACAGAAAGGGACGGCUAACUACGUG
Molecule: ribosomal RNA, 496 nt
Filed under: uncultured bacterium
Lineage: Bacteria
Description: partial 16S ribosomal RNA
Rfam family: Bacterial small subunit ribosomal RNA
Source: RNAcentral